This is a long non-coding RNA of Mytilus californianus (California mussel), 1061 nucleotides long. RefSeq lists it as uncharacterized. The transcript has 2 exons. The record is from RefSeq and is a predicted model, not a curated record. Lineage: Eukaryota; Metazoa; Mollusca; Bivalvia; Mytilida; Mytilidae.
GAAUAACACUCAGAAAGUCAGAGAGGGGUAUUCUGAAAGUUUAGAAAUGCCAACAGCUUCAACAAGUAUGAACAAAUAAGUAAAAUUGAAGUAAGGAUUAUUUUAGCAUAUCCAAUGUUAACAUCCUUCUACUAUAGCGAAAAUACUAAAGGAUAUGGUCUGCAAGGAAUAUCUGGUAUUUGAAUGUUCUGGUAUCUGUUCAUGAAAAACUACAAAUCAGAGUAUGGUUUUUUUUAUAUAAUGUUAAAAUCAUAAUACUUCAGCUUUGGUUUGUCAGAUCUUGUGAUUUGUGAUUUGAUCAUUUGCACCUAAUCAAAAAUUAUCCUUCACAAGCCCACUCCCAAAAUAAAAUGUAUCUUGAACAUAUUUGGUGGAGUUGAAAUAUUAACAUUAAAAAAAUCGAAAUUUAUGUGUUUUUGAAAUUUUUGUAAUGAGCCAACUUUUAAUAUAGCCAAUCAUUCAAUUCCUUCCGAGCCCAGGUAUAUGGUCCAUCCUUCUAAGUCCUUCAGAGCCCAGGGAUAUGGUCCAUCCUUCUAAGUCCUUCAGAGCCCAGGGAUAUGGUCCAUCCUUCUAAGUCCUUAAGAGCCCAGGGAUAUUGUCCAAUCCUUCUAAGUCCUUCAGAGUCAGGAAUAUGGUCCCAUCCUUCUAAGUCAAUACAGAGCCCAGGGAUAUGGUCCAUCCUUCUAAGUCAAUACAGAGCCCAGGGAUAUGGUCCAUCCUUCUAAGUCAAUACAGAGCCCAAGGAACACCUUUUAAAGCAAUUUUGCUGACAUCAGCAAAUUUUUCAUUUAAAGAAUGAGAAAUCAAUUUUAAUAAUACAUUAUUAAUAUACCAAUACAAUCUCAUAUUACUUUUUCAUUAUUGAUACUUCACGUAUUUGCCAUCAAGUAUAAAAUAAAUCAUUUAUUGGUUGUUUACUAAUUAAAUCGUGACAAAAUUAAUAUUUCCAAAUAAAACCAGAUGAGAGUUUGAUUUGCAAAUGAUACAACUGUCCACUAUUUUAGGUCAAAGGUCAAGAGAGUGAAUAUCCUACAUGUCACAAUACCUGGACUGUAUCAGUA